RNAcentral lists this long non-coding RNA (443 nucleotides) under Capra hircus (goat). RNAcentral's name for it is "lncRNA (ENSCHIG00000005736.1)". The record is from RNAcentral. Lineage: Eukaryota; Metazoa; Chordata; Mammalia; Artiodactyla; Bovidae.
CUGGAGUGUGUCUCCAGAGUCCCUACAAGAAGCUUUUAACAGGAAAUUUACAAACUCAUGGAGAGCAAUACGCAGUCAGGGAAGAAAAGUGGGUUGGCAUUUCCUGAGGGCAAGUUAUACCUGGGACAAUGUCAAGAGAUGGAGGAAGCUGAAGUAGUGAAAGCGAACAGUGUUACAGUGAAAAAUUGAGGGUUUUAUUUUAAAUGGGUCAUUGUAAUCUUUGGAAUAACAGGGUUUUAUCUCAAUGUUAGAAUGUUCUCUAGGAUCAUGGAGACUGGGAUACAAGAUGACUGAAGUGGAGGUGAAAAGACCUGGCAAAGGGAGUACCUGCAAUAACACAAGUGAGAGAAACACUGGAAACGUGGUUGGAGAGAAGCUGAAGUCAUCAAAUUGCAGUUAUUUAGGAACAGCUGCUGCCUGCUUCAAGCGUGCUGAGUGUCAAG